Molecule: ribosomal RNA, 871 nt
Filed under: uncultured Chloroflexota bacterium
Lineage: Bacteria; Bacillati; Chloroflexota
Description: bacterial SSU rRNA
Rfam family: Bacterial small subunit ribosomal RNA
Source: RNAcentral
UGAUCAUGGCUCAGGAUGAACGCUAGCGGUGCGCCUAAUGCAUGCAAGUCGAACGAGAAGUCCGGUGCUUGCAUCGGUUGGAAAGUGGCGGACGGGUGAGUAACACGUAGGUGAUCUACCCUGGAGAGGGGGACAACCAUUGGAAACGAUGGCUAAUACCCCAGAUGUUACACUAAUUAGAAAGGUGUGACUAAAACUCCGGUGCUCCAGGAGGAGCCUGCGGCCCAUCAUGUUAGUUGGUAAGGUAACGGCUUACCAAGACAAAGACGGGUAGGGGGCGUGAGAGCGCGAACCCCCACACUGGUACUGAGACACGGACCAGAUACCUGCGGGUAGCAGCAGCAAGGAAUAUUGCGCAAUGGGCGAAAGCCUGACGCAGCAACACCGCGUGGAGGAUGAAGGCUUUCGGGUCGUAAACUCCUUUUCUGGGGGAAGAGAAAGGACGGUACCCCAGGAAUAAGUCUCGGCUAACUACGUGCCAGCAGCCGCGGUAAAACGUGGGAGGCAAGCGUUAUCCGGAAUUACUGGGCGUAAAGCGCAUGCAGGCGGUUGUUUAAGUCAGACGUGAAAGCUCCUGGCUCAACUAGGAGAGGACGUUUGAAACUGGACAACUUGAGGAUGGUAGAGGAGAGUGGAAUUCCCGGUGUAGUGGUGAAAUGCGUAGAUAUCGGGAGGAACACCAGUGGCGAAAGCGGCUCUCUGGGCCAUAACUGACGCUCAGAUGCGAAAGCUAGGGGAGAGAACGGGAUUAGAAACCCCGGUAUUCCUAGCCGUAAACGAUGUCAACUAGGCGUGGGAGGUCAUUGACCCCUUCUGUGCUGCAGCAAACGCGAUAAGUUCUCCGCCUGGGGAGUACGGCCGCAAGGCUAAA